AAUAAGAUAAGCUAUAUAAGCUAAUGGGCUCAUACCUCAUAGAAAGUUUUACUUCUUAUUU
Molecule: transfer RNA, 61 nt
Filed under: Hygrobates taniguchii
Lineage: Eukaryota; Metazoa; Arthropoda; Arachnida; Trombidiformes; Hygrobatidae
Description: tRNA-Met
Source: RNAcentral